CGCAAUCAGAGAUAACCCCCACCUUCCGAUAAGGAUGAUCGGACGAGAAGUUUUAGUUUAGCGCUGGCCAGCCGAGAGGUGACAACAAACCUGUUGAAAACAACACAACGAGGCAUUAUUUUGAUCUUCUCUUUCUUCUUUCUUUACUACCAACACCGCCCAACAUUGGAGUCUGGACUGCGUGAGCGAGUCAUCCUUCACUUCCAACGCCACCCGAUGUUGAAGCCGGGACUACGGGGUGUACAUGAUUCAUGGGGCUUUUACACAAGGAACAAAGUUGUACGGGGGAAAAGGUAAUUGGAAAUAAUGCUGAAUACUUUACCUCAGACCACAGGUGCAAAUUGUCCAGGAAGGAUUCACUCUCUCACUCAAAAAAGCUUUGUUCGGGAUGAGGAAAGGUUCAAAGACGAAAGACAAGACAAAAUGUGGAGUGGAAUGACGAAGCAAUAAAGCUAAGGUAUAAGAUAAAAAUCCUUAUUUGUUCAUAUAUAUUUUUAUAGGGUUCAUUAAAAAACUUAUUCAAAAAUUCAUGAAAUAAUUUUAUCGACAAACUAUGCAAACUAAUUUCAUAGUGGACAAAAUGAAUCAAUCUCCAUGCAAGCAAUGCUUAUUUAAGAUUUUUAUAAAUUAGAAAUC
Long non-coding RNA from Cimex lectularius (bed bug), 636 nucleotides. RefSeq lists it as uncharacterized. The record is from RefSeq and is a predicted model, not a curated record. The transcript is spliced from 3 exons. Lineage: Eukaryota; Metazoa; Arthropoda; Insecta; Hemiptera; Cimicidae.